RNAcentral lists this non-coding RNA (26 nucleotides) under Homo sapiens (human). The record is from RNAcentral. Lineage: Eukaryota; Metazoa; Chordata; Mammalia; Primates; Hominidae.
UCGUGCGACCCAAGCCCCUGCAUUCC